AUUGCCCUCUUUCUUCAUGCUUUACACAUGCAAGUCGAACGGCAGCGCGGGCUUCGGCCUGGCGGCGAGUGGCGAAGGGGUGAGGAAUACAACGGAACGUGCCCAGUAUUGGGGGAUAGCUCGGCGAAAGCCGGAUUAAUACCGCAAACGACCUGAGGGUGAAAGCGGAGGAUCUUCGGACCUCGCGCUAUUGCAGCGGCCGAUGGCAGAUUAGCUAGUUGGUGGGGUAAAGGCCUACCAAGGCGACGAUCUGUAGCUGGUCUGAGAGGACGACCAGCCACACUGGGACUGAGACACGGCCCAGACUCCUACGGGAGGCAGCAGUGGGGAAUUUUGGACAAUGGGCGAAAGCCUGAUCCAGCAAUGCCGCGUGUAUGAUGAAGGCCUUCGGGUUGUAAAGCACUUUUGGCGGGAACGAAAGGGACUGUGCUAAUACCACGGUUCGAUGACGGUACCCGCAGAAUAAGCACCGGAUAACUCCGUG
Molecule: ribosomal RNA, 484 nt
Filed under: uncultured bacterium
Lineage: Bacteria
Description: partial 16S ribosomal RNA
Rfam family: Bacterial small subunit ribosomal RNA
Source: RNAcentral